AUACGGAGGGUGCAAGCGUUGUUCGGAAUCACUGGGCGUAAAGGGCGCGCAGGCGGUUUGGUAAGUCAGAUGUGAAAGCCCACGGCUCAGCCGUGGAAGUGCAUUUGAAACUGUCAGACUUGAGUACUAGAGGGGAAAGUGGAAUUCCCGGUGUAGAGGUGAAAUUCGUAGAUAUCGGGAGGAAUACCGGUGGCGAAGGCGACUUUCUGGCUAGAUACUGACGCUGAGGCGCGAAAGCGUGGGGAGCAAACAGGAUUAGAAACCCCAGUAGUCC
RNAcentral lists this ribosomal RNA (274 nucleotides) under uncultured bacterium. Its description in RNAcentral is "partial 16S ribosomal RNA". It matches the Rfam family "Bacterial small subunit ribosomal RNA", at positions 523 to 796 of the family's 1533-position model. The record is from RNAcentral.